GGGUCCGUAGCUCAAUGGUUAGAGCAUUCGCCUCUUAAGCGACAGGUUGUGAGUUCGAGUCUCACUGGACCCA
Molecule: transfer RNA, 73 nt
Filed under: Stenotrophomonas phage vB_SmaS-DLP_6
Lineage: Duplodnaviria; Heunggongvirae; Uroviricota; Caudoviricetes
Rfam family: tRNA
About the family: Transfer RNA (tRNA) molecules are approximately 80 nucleotides in length.
Source: Rfam by way of RNAcentral